This 443-nucleotide ribosomal RNA is filed under the name uncultured bacterium. Its description in RNAcentral is "partial 16S ribosomal RNA". It matches the Rfam family "Bacterial small subunit ribosomal RNA", at positions 338 to 795 of the family's 1533-position model. The record is from RNAcentral.
CCUACGGGAGGCAGCAGUGGGGAAUAUUGGGCAAUGGGCGCAAGCCUGACCCAGCAACGCCGCGUGAAGGAAGAAGGCUUUCGGGUUGUAAACUUCUUUUCUCAGGGACGAAGAAAGCGACGGUACCUCAGGAAUAAGCCACGGCUAACUACGUACCAGCAGCCGCGGUAAUACGUAGGUGGCAAGAGUUAUCCGGAAUGAUUGGGUGUAAAGGCCGUGUAGGCGGGACAGCAAGUCAGAUGUGAAAACUCAGGGCUCAACCCUGGGCCUGCAUUUGAAACUGUUGUUCUUGAGUGCUGGAGAGGCAAGCGGAAUUCCGAGUGUAGCGGUGAAAUGCGUAGAUAUACGGAGGAACACCAGUGGCGAAGGCGGAUUGCUGGACAGUAACUGACGCUGAGGCGCGAAAGCGUGGGGAGCAAACAGGAUUAGAUACCCUAGUAGUC